Mustela erminea (ermine) is the source of this 1486-nucleotide long non-coding RNA. RefSeq lists it as uncharacterized. The transcript has 7 exons. Lineage: Eukaryota; Metazoa; Chordata; Mammalia; Carnivora; Mustelidae. The record is from RefSeq and is a predicted model, not a curated record.
UCUAGGAAGACAUCUCUGACUUGCAGUGAGAGUUUGAGAAGAACUUAACGUAGAAAAUGGUAGUUGAUUUUGACGUCAUGUGGAGGAGGCUCACUCUCAUUGAAAGGCGGCGUUAGAUAUCUGGAGGAUGACAGUACUUCUGUUUCCUUGGGGAAAUUAUGCACCAGGAUUCUGAGGAGGUCAGUGUUACCCCGUCCCCACCUGGCCGGCUGGCACUGCCCUGCUGGGUGAUCAGAACUGAUUUCGAAGAAUGACCUUCAGCACAGAUGAGCACCGCCUUGCCCCUGGAAGGCCGUGAAAGCACCGUCACUCUGCACUCGAAAGCUCUCCUUGUUUACAAGGUAUUUGGGCACAGAUGGAAGUAUCGCAUCACAAGCCAAUUUCUUCACCUCUUUUAAAAAUUUUAUCAGUGUUAAGCUUUAGACAGAACCUGGUUCAAAUAAACUGAUGACAAAAGGAGGGUCGCUUGGACUUUUGUACUCAUCAUGUGACUCAGGAGCAUCACGUUGAGGCUCAGCACCCUGGCUUUAGUCUUCCCUGGACGGCUGGUAGGAGGAAUUGGCCCUCAAGAGAGUUUGGUUCCUACCUCGGUACUGCAGUCAGCAGCUGGGAAUCCUUGAUGAAACCAUUUACUUGGCCAAAGCUGAGUUUUCUCAUCUGUAAAAUGAGACAGACACAACAUGUUUUUCAUGUCUUUUUAUGCUUCCCCAGCAAACUGCCCACAUUGCCUGGCAGCGAUUGUCUAAUAAAGUUAGAACCAGUGACAUUUCUUCUGAUGAAAUUAAUGACGGCUUGUUAGACUGAACCUGCACAUCUUCUGAAGUUUGAAGCACAAUUCUAGAAAGGAUAAUAGUUUCUAAUAUGUCAGCUCCGUCCUGCUGAGUGUUCCAUCAACACCCUUAACCCAGUUAUCUGCAAGGGCUUUGACCCCAGACGGGGAGUCUCAGAUGGAAGCCAGGACAUUGCUUCAGGACCGGCCAUGAAAAAUGCAUGUAAGAUAGAAAAAUGUGAAUUAUGUGUGAAACAAACAAAAGCACCAGGCAACAUGGAAUUUGUGUCAACAAAAGCUUGCUGCAAGCUGUUGCUUGCUUCUAAGGGGGAAGUAGACUCUGGCGCCCAGGGAACAGUAGCAGGGAAGGACUUUUGCACAAGACGUGCAGAAACAAAAGGGGUGAACUGUUCUGGCUGUAACAGCUUUCAAGUUCUUAAGCUCUCCUCUCUCUUGCAUUUGUUAUGCAGCUGGGGAAGUUACUGAUUACUGAGUCCGCUGGAGCCAUGAGAAUGGGAAUAACUGACAUUUAUAACAUUUUGACAUACUCAAGAGAAGAGAAAAAUAGUCCAAAGGGUGGGACCUCCAGUUGACUUUCUUGUUGACUAUAAAACAACUCCAUGACUGGAUUACUUGAGUGAAUAAGGGAAUGGCAAGGUUCUCAGGGAGAUUCAUGCACUGGAAUGUCUAGCUCAUGUUCCAAUUAAAAUAUUAAAU